UACGAGAGAUGCAAGCGUUAUCUGGAAUUAUUGGGCGUAAAGCGUUCUGUAGAUGGUUUUCUAAGUUUGAUGUCAAAGAUUGAAGCUUAACUUUGAAAUGGCAUUAAAAACUGGGAUACUCGAGUACGAUAAGGGCAGAGGGAAUUUCCAGUGUAGCGGUGAAAUGCGUAGAUAUUGGAAAGAACACCAACGGCGAAAGCACUCUGCUGGGUUGAUACUGACAUUGAGAGACGAAAGCUAGGGUA
Molecule: ribosomal RNA, 245 nt
Filed under: uncultured bacterium
Lineage: Bacteria
Description: partial 16S ribosomal RNA
Rfam family: Bacterial small subunit ribosomal RNA
Source: RNAcentral